This is a non-coding RNA of Acanthosepion pharaonis, 98 nucleotides long. The record is from the annotation of a GenBank genome assembly. Lineage: Eukaryota; Metazoa; Mollusca; Cephalopoda; Sepiida; Sepiidae.
UUAUGGCUAUAUCACGUUGAAAGACCUGUUCUCGUACGAUCACCGAAGUUAAACAACGUUGAGCCUAGUCAGUACCUAGAUAGGCGACGGCUUGAAAA